Phasianus colchicus (ring-necked pheasant) is the source of this 2281-nucleotide long non-coding RNA. The record is from Ensembl. Lineage: Eukaryota; Metazoa; Chordata; Aves; Galliformes; Phasianidae.
CAGAAACCCUCUACCAUUGUAGCUACUUAAAAAUAAUGGAAAUGCUAGUCAUUGCAAAUGCAAAUUCUGACUUGAGCUGACACCUUGACUUCACUGCAUGGGUGGACACAGAAGAGUCGUGCAAUAUUACCUUCAGCCUUCUCUCAAAGACAUCCUCCCUUGGAUUGGUGGUCUCCAUCCAAUGCUGUGAUAAAAAGUCCCGUGUUAUGAUCACGCUGCGUGCGGUUAAUAGGAUGACUCCAUCAGAGCUGAGCUAUUCCUUCUGGCAGAAGUGUAGUGGGUAUUGGAAGGUCAUCAUGUGUUGGUUGUACCUCCUGUGCCCAAGGAGGGCUUGUGUCCUAAUUCCCACCACAGCUACGCAUUCUGCAGCAGGUCUGAUGCUGUGGCAGGGUACGUUUGAGUUAUGCAGAUAAUGGCCAAAUCUUGCAGGUUUAAGGUAACUUCAAUGAAACUGUGUCUGUUUGCAUCAAAGGAAAGCUUCGUCCGUGAUGUGCAUUAUACCCAUCGAUGCUUUCUGAAAAUCUGACCUUGUCACUCUGUGCUGCACAGUACAGUAGGAAUUCACUUUAAAUAAAGUCAAGAUUACACACAGGAGGAAUAAUCGUGGGCAGUUAGGUAUACAUUUUAGUUGCAUAUAGCAGACAUUAUUAUCUACUUUAAAAUUGUAUAUUUUCAUGAGAUACCAUGUUAGGCCAGUGAUUUGCAGGCAAGAGAAAGAGAAAGAUUCCUUCCCUGCUGCUUUCUGGCUUGCAGAAGCCCGGUGGCUGUGAGGUCUAGUCCAGCCUCAACCAAUUUUAUUUUGUAUUUGUUUUCAUUACUGAGCAUGCUUCACGUUCUCUUCUUCAGCUCAGCCUCAUUUUUUUUCACUUUCUGUAUCAGGAAACUGGACAAAGUCAACUCAGCUGGCAGCAGGAUUCAGACUUUUAUUAAGCCAGAAAUCAUCUCAAGUUCUCUGCAGCAGAUUGUGAAACCAGAAAUAUACUCUACAAGGCAGAAGUUUUUUGCUAUGUGUGAAGAAGAAAGAUAUGGUGAACUUGUAUGUUUCUCAGCCAUCUGAGCUGUAAAUUUGCACCUUUACAAUCCUCUCAGAGAAUCUGUUAAUAACUUUUUGGAAGCUAUUCUGCUAGUCUUAGAAGACAGGAAGAUUGGACCCUGCCUGCACUGCAGAGGAAAGGAAAGAGCCUCGGGACAUUUGACUUUGCAAACUCUUUGUGAGGGUUUUAUUUCCCAGUUUUCAGAAGGAGCCUUCAUCCAGUCCUUGUGUGCAUUCAGAGCAGUAUUUCUGGUCGUUGUUUUGCACAGGUACCUCUGGUCAUCUCUAAGUGCAGAAAUUACACUUGUGCAUGCAGAAGUGAAGGCUAUAUUUUAUAACUAUAGUUCUUCUAAUAUAAUUUCCUUAUGGUUUAUGUAGCACUUAAUUUUGCCUAUUUGCCAGGAUAACAUUAGGUAUUAGUAUCACCACUACUCUUAUUUAGCUGAGAAAAUUUUAAUGGCAAUGUUACUGAUUUCCUCAUUCUUUAAAAAAAAAAAAAAAAAAAAAAAAAAAAGUUAUUUGGUAAUAAUUUUUGCAGCAUGCUUUUGCUCGUAGUCUUCUGCUUUCCCUGUGCUUAGCUUUGUUGGUGCUUUAUUGUUUGUUUUUCUUCUGCAUGGCUCAGCUUAGUGAAAAGACAGAGUCAACCCUGCCUGGCUGCAAUAAGCUAUGCACUGGUGUAUGACAUUAAGUGUACACACAAGAAUGUAAGAUGCCAAUGAAAACAAACCCAGUUUUGUACAGAUUAGGUAAUGAUAGUAGCUACCAUACAGCAGGAGUGGUUAAUCCAUAAUCCAGUACUUGGCUAAUAACCUAAAAAUACUGUUUUUCUUCAAACUUCAGAUUUGCCAGAAUAACAAAACCACCGAGCGACUUAGAUAGAACUUGGAAGGAAGAACUAGGAAAACACACUUGAAAAUAUGGGGUAUGUUGUUAAAACCAUAGAUCGUAAAGAGAUAGCUGUGUCAAGUCCUUUCAAAAAUAAUAUGCCUUCAUCUUAUGUCUUAAUGUAAGGCUGACUUUUGUAGCAGAUGUUCUGGGAGCCCUCCCUCCCUUACUCAAUGACAGAAGCCAUACCAGUGCUCCUAGAGAGGUUUACCUUUCAGAAUUGACAAGUGUUAAAAGAAAAGAGGGGUGAGAACAGGUUUAUAAUCUACAUCGCAGAUAUGUGGGAAAGGGUUUUAAAAUAUACUGUGUAAGGGAGAGGAGAAAAAUCAGACACAUUAAAUAAAAUCUUUAUAAAUAGUAACA